This 449-nucleotide long non-coding RNA is filed under the name Zostera marina. Its description in RNAcentral is "long non-coding RNA (ZMAR_LNC006083)". Lineage: Eukaryota; Viridiplantae; Streptophyta; Magnoliopsida; Alismatales; Zosteraceae. The record is from RNAcentral.
AUUCAACGAUCAUUAUAAAAUAUAACACCUGAAGGUGGAGAUUGAGAGAAUUAUAGAGGAGGUGGAAGGUUGGACUAAAGGAGCUCUGGCAUGGGGUAUGUUAUAGUCACUUAUGGCGGCCAGCGUGUGGCAUACAUAGCGGGAGAGAAAUACGAGAUGGCACCAGGGACCUAGCAAACCGGCUGAAGAGGUGCUUAAGGAGGUUAUAUAUAGAGAUUGUACGAUUGACUUUCGUGUGGGUAAGUUUAAAUCAGUUCAUCGAUUGCAGCUAGAUAACCAGUGCUCGACAACAUGGAGUUAGCAAAUCAACAUGGAGUUAACCAGGGCUAUCAAAUGCUACCCCAUUCCUUAAGGAGCAUGAGUGAAGAAGCUUCUCAUUAGUUUGAACAAUUUACCUAAAUAGGUUCUUAUUUUUUUCGAUUUCCAUCUGUAAGACUGCUUUUAUUUUU